UGCCGCUUUGGUCGGCUGCCCAUUCGUCGGGCCGCUGUGCACCGUAAUGAUGCAUCUGGAGAAGGGCCGAAAGCACCCGCUCCCGCUGGCGCACACACCCAAACGCACGGAAACGCACUGAAGCACCGAAAGUGAGCUGAAGAGUUGGAAAGUAGUACUCACAGACACACAGGCGCACCACAUACUCGCGCGUAGUGACCGCCUAUCAUGGAGUUCUCGUCCUCUUCCUCUUCGGAUGCGGGGCUGGAAGAAGAACUGCAUCGGAACUUCCACCGUGAGCGAAGAGAACAACGUGGUAUUGUCCGAGCAUCUUCGGCGGCCACCCGCUGCGAAACCAUGCGCUUCACGAUGCCUGAUGGUCGAUCGAUCGAGGUUCGCAAAGGCUCCAUCUAUAUUCCCUUGCGUGACAUGUAUGUUCAUGUGCUGCAGGCGCGCUGCUGCCCGGAGAAGUGGUUUGGUGACGGUCGUGUGCCCCUUCGGCGACGCCGUCCACUACCGGCAGAUGUGGUGGUCUUACAACGGGUAACAGAGGCAGCAGCAGCAGCUGGCAGUGGUGCCACUGCCGCUCUUCCGCCCGUCAGCGUGAGGCUGUCGGAGGCGACCGAUAACGACUUUUUCGUCUUCAAGGAAGUGCUGCCUCAGAAAGCUGAAGAAAAUGCUGGCGAAGUCGCCGCCCCUCUGGUGAAGACCACCUCCUUUACGGCACAGGAACGCCCGAGCAGCUGGAAUGAUCCUCUGAUUGACACGCGCUUUCAGCGCAUGGCGUUCCUGCCUCGCUGGCGCUUCUCUAUGGCCCACCCGCGAUUGCUGAGAGAGGCUCGGUACGACACAUGGGACGCGGUCGAGCUUGCUCCUCCACUUCACGUGGACGACGCGUGCUGCUACGAUGAUUCGCUGGGUAUCUUGUGGAGCCUAAAUAGGCGGGAUGGGCACUUGUGGUACUUGCGAUACGACAACAGUGCUACCACCACGACUCGAGGUGCCGCUCUCAUGUCGGUAUGUGUUACCACAGUCGAUGUGGCCACUGCGCAGCGGUGUGUCGGGAUGUACUGUCAGCAUGAAGGGUCUUCGUCGCACGACGCAGCUGUCGGCGAUGACGAGGAAACAAGCAGAUGCGUGUGCUGUCUGCUCGUGAUCACCACCUCCCACGCUCUUUACAUACGCCUCGUGUACACCUGGUGCAACAAGUUCACAGUAGAACACGCGUUGUCGACACUGAAGCUGGAAUCGGUGCUCCCCAAGCCCCUGCAACUGUCGAGUGUAACGUGCUGCUGCCCCGGGAAUGCGGAAAAGCCGCCUGAUGUACCGCCAUCCUCCGCCAACGACACGUCCUUUUGUGUCGGCGCCGGCCGAAGUGUGUUUGCGUUCAUCUGGCGUAAUGGACAGUGGCACAGAGUGCGCCUCGCCUCGUUUACGGCGACCGAUGUAACGGCUUUGGCUCUCCACGGAGCGCUUGGGCAUCCCUCGUUGCCUGUCGCCGUCGUUGCUGGCAUGCGCAACGGAACGAUUCAAGUCGUUACCACAGAGGGGCGGAUGCGAAACAAGGCCAUCUUCAACACCACACCUCGACACUAUGGGUCUGAUAUUACCUCCAUGUACGCGGUACAAGGUCUUCCCUACGGGAUCGUCUCUGUAGCUCGCGAUGGCGGGGCGAAGCUCUGGGAUCUGCGUCGCCUCGGGUCUGACAAAGACCCGGUGUGCACCUUGCUCACCUCGCGCCUCGGUGGUGGUCAGUCAGGGGUGUGUAGUACGGCCAUGGCCGGCCACCUGCUGGCUGUCUCCUCCGUCUCCACGGGGCUUGUAUGCGUGGACGCUCAAACGGGCGCCCGGUUGUUUCACACGACACAAAAGCUGUCCCCAGCAACCCGCGUCGCAUUGGGGUCUCUCAGCAACGUCGACGGCAACGAUGGCUUUGAGCUCUACACCUUCAGCCCGUACUACGCACAGCGCUUCCACCUUCACCUGUGAGAGAGAGUGUAUGUGUGUGUAUGUGUGUGAGAGGAAAAGUAAGGCGGCGGCAACGGCGCAGACACGGCUCAUGAUGACUCGCGCCGUUCUCUUUUUCAUUUCCGCUGCUACAGCCUACGACAAGGGGGCUACGCGUACCUAAAGGUCCUGCCCCGAUACGAACACACUCACGCACAGACACCAGAGACAAGGAAACGUUCACUUACAGAGAGGGAUAGUAAAGCGGACAAACUGCUCCACUGCAGAGGAGGAACCCACGCUUACAUCAACGCAACGGCUGGCGUGACGAAGAUGGUGAUCACGCUGCUAAUCUUGCCUGCUGCCGUUGAUGUAGAGCUGAUAGUCUCUUUUCCCUCCACCUCCGGCCUUUGAAGAUGUGCUUCGAGGUGCAGCCCUCUUCGUCUCCCCUCCUCGCACACGCACAAACCCAAGCGCGCACGGCCUGUGCGCUCUUACAGUUUCUACUGCUUUCUGACAUGUGCACUCCUCUUCCUUCCAUCUUCCCUACUCCUCUUUUCCUUCUCUCCGUUCCGCUAUCUAUCUUCGCUGCUCUUUUCAUUGACGUGUGUGCGUGUCCCUCCACCGGUGAUGUGACACACACACACACACACACGCAUACAUAUAUAUAUAUAUAUUCGCGCCCCUCCCCCUUUUCGUGUGUGUGUGGGGGGGGGGGGGAGGGGGGCUUGUUUGUAUGAGCAUAUCGCAG
RNAcentral lists this unclassified non-coding RNA (2677 nucleotides) under Leishmania donovani. RNAcentral describes it as "gene:LdHU3.26.1970(CDS-product:hypothetical_prote in_conserved)". The record is from RNAcentral. Lineage: Eukaryota; Euglenozoa; Kinetoplastea; Trypanosomatida; Trypanosomatidae.